This 72-nucleotide transfer RNA is filed under the name Bos taurus (domestic cattle). It matches the Rfam family "tRNA". Rfam says of the family: Transfer RNA (tRNA) molecules are approximately 80 nucleotides in length. The record is from Rfam by way of RNAcentral. Lineage: Eukaryota; Metazoa; Chordata; Mammalia; Artiodactyla; Bovidae. RNAcentral also lists the same sequence under 3 other names.
UCCCUUGUAGCUUAGGUGGUAAAGAGUCUGCCUUCAAUGCAGGAGACCUGGGUUCAAUUCUUGGGUCGGGAA